Molecule: ribosomal RNA, 253 nt
Filed under: uncultured bacterium
Lineage: Bacteria
Description: partial 16S ribosomal RNA
Rfam family: Bacterial small subunit ribosomal RNA
Source: RNAcentral
UACGAAGGGGGCUAGCGUUGUUCGGAAUUACUGGGCGUAAAGCGCGCGCAGGCGGUCUUCUAAGUCAGUGGUGAAAGCCUGGAGCUCAACUCCAGAACUGCCAUUGAAACUGUUAGACUUGAGUACGAGAGAGGUGAGUGGAAUUCCCAGUGUAGAGGUGAAAUUCGUAGAUAUUGGGAAGAACACCAGUGGCGAAGGCGGCUCACUGGCUCGUAACUGACGCUCAGGCGCGACAGCGUGGGGAUCAAACAGG